This 524-nucleotide ribosomal RNA is filed under the name uncultured bacterium. RNAcentral's name for it is "partial 16S ribosomal RNA". It matches the Rfam family "Bacterial small subunit ribosomal RNA", at positions 28 to 523 of the family's 1533-position model. The record is from RNAcentral.
GACGAACGCUGGCGGCGUGCCUAAUACAUGCAAGUCGAACGAAGCUUUUUUUACUGGUGCUUGCACCGACUUAAACAACUGAGUGGCGAACGGGUGAGUAACACGUGGGUAACCUGCCCCAAAGCGGGGGAUAACAUUUGGAAACAGAUGCUAAUACCGCAUAACCACAGAAACCACAUGGUUUCUGUGUCAAAGAUGGUUUCGGCUAUCACUUUGGGAUGGACCCGCGGCGUAUUAGCUAGUUGGUAAGGUAAUGGCUUACCAAGGCAAUGAUACGUAGCCGAACUGAGAGGUUGAUCGGCCACAUUGGGACUGAGACACGGCCCAAACUCCGACGGGAGGCAGCAGUAGGGAAUCUUCCACAAUGGACGAAAGUCUGAUGGAGCAACGCCGCGUGAGUGAAGAAGGUUUUCGGAUCGUAAAACUCUGUUGUCAGAGAAGAACGUGUGCGAGAGUAACUGUUCGUGCAGUGACGGUAUCUGGCCAGAAAGCCACGGCUAACUACGUGCCAGCCGCCGCCGUAA